UACGUAGGUGACAAGCGUUGUCCGGAUUUACUGGGCGUAAAGAGCGCGCAGGCGGUCGUUCAAGUCGAGUGUGAAAGCCCCCGGCUCAACUGGGGAGGGGCAUUCGAUACUGAUCGACUCGAAGGCAGGAGAGGGUAGUGGAAUUCCCGGUGUAGUGGUGAAAUGCGUAGAUAUCGGGAGGAACACCAGUGGCGAAGGCGACUACCUGGCCUGUUCUUGACGCUGAGGCGCGAAAGCUAGGGGAGCAAACGGG
Molecule: ribosomal RNA, 253 nt
Filed under: uncultured bacterium
Lineage: Bacteria
Description: partial 16S ribosomal RNA
Rfam family: Bacterial small subunit ribosomal RNA
Source: RNAcentral